This 2239-nucleotide long non-coding RNA is filed under the name Mus caroli (Ryukyu mouse). RNAcentral describes it as "RIKEN cDNA 9330162B11 gene (MGP_CAROLIEiJ_G0002471.1)". Lineage: Eukaryota; Metazoa; Chordata; Mammalia; Rodentia; Muridae. The record is from RNAcentral.
ACAGUCACCUUUGGCACUGCCACCCAGGACCACCACGCCAAGGCUGCAUACUCCAUGCUCAGACCGCACGAGGGCAGAGGAUGGUAGAGUCACCUCCUUGAGCAACUUCACUAAAAGGAGGGAAACACGGACUUCCCCUGCUAAUGACUUUGUAAGUUUGCUUGCGACAGGAAGAUUCCGAGGAACUGAUAGUGCUGGCGGCUCCAGAUCAAACGCUAUUAAGCCUGCUAUGUAUGGUGUUGGAGAUGCUCCCCACACCCUCACACCCUCAGAGAAGGAGGGGAAGGAAGCUAGCAGCCGUGCUUGAUCAAGGUACCUGCUGCCACCUCGCAGUACUGCUCCCGAGCAUGGCCGACUGUGAGCAGAGUUAAGACCACCUUAUUUUGAUUACGCCGCUUUCCUCAGGCAGGAAUUUUUAUUUCAUUUUGAAUCUUAAAACCAUUCUAUUUCCAGCCAUGCAUUUUUAUGUUUACAAUUGACAUCUUCAUAAAAGAAUGGAACCUUUGAGCGACAGCUCAGAAGCAUGAAGGUUGCCUGCAAAAGGCCCCGAGUUGCAAAGAACGAACUUUCCAAUGAAACAUAUUUUAAGGAACCGGUGCUGAACAAAGGGCUGCUUAGAGCUGAGCGCUUUGUCAAUUUAUCAGCCUGUGAACACUCUGCCCCUGCGUCCCCCACUGCUGGGGAGCGUAUGGAACUCUGGUGCCUUGCUUAAUCGAAGACUAUUGAUUCGAGUGUGUCACGGUGAUCUCAUUGAGAGGAAUCAAUAGUAAUCCAAAAUCAAUCAUUCUGAUCUUGCACUACCAUUUAUCAAAUCUGAAUACGCUAAAUUAUUUGGAGGCAUCAGAUUACAAAGACAAGAAGAUGCUACAACUGGGAAAGUUAAUGGUUUGUAUUAAAAGAAAACCAGAAUAUCCUAUUUUCCUCCCAGUAAGGAAGGGACCUUGCUGGCUCAACACAGCAGACACAUACGGACGGCAUCCCGAAACUUGACUGCAGCACAGCAACAUUUUCUAAGUCUGAUAAGCUAAAGUUUCAAACGCCUGUCACUCACGGACUCAGAAAACAAGGAGCCUCGAUUGACACGGAACAUAACUGAAUCUUGGAACAUCGGAAACGGUGUUUAAUGGACCCAGAGACGGUUUGGCAUGUUAAUUUCUCCAGAGAAUGGAGAGCAUACAUGUACCUGCUUAUCAAAGACACUGCUGUUGAUGGGGAGGGUUCCUUUAUCAACAUUUCCCCGAGUAAUUUAGUGAAGGUAAUAAAUCCUUCUAUUCAUUAGCGCACACUCAAAAGCGCCCCUCCUUAUUUAACUUGAAUAGGAAAAAAAAAGGGGGGGCCCAGGAGUGUCUAAAACAUUUACUUUUGCUAAUGUAAAAGUGUUGGCAUUUUGCUGCACUCCGAUAAGCUGGUACCACUGAAGGAGAUUAGUCCUUUCUUAUUUAAACCUAUCAGCACUUCGUAAAAAGCUCUCUCAAUCUUAUCAGGAGUAUGAGCCAGCCAACGUGGUUACUGAAAACAGUCUGCACUGCUCUUCUCUCUCUCUGCCAAGCUAUCUGAUAAACCCCCAGCUAACGAACUGUAUUUACACGCAAUCAAACAGAAGUUGUAUCUUCCACUGCACUAGAGCCAGAUUCCAGUUUGCCUUUGUUUUUUUUUUUUUUUUUUUUUCUGCUGUGACAUUAACUUAACAAAAAAUGUCAGCUGCUGAGUAUCCCAAACUGACAACCAUCAGGAAAACACCAUAAAAGCACUCAGGUAGAAUGUUCUGCAAACAGAAACAAAAGAAAACACAAACGGGAGGUGUUGGGGGCAAUCUCCUUGGAACUCCCAGGGAAAAUGAAGGGCGCAGCCUGGGUUAGCAGGAGGAACCUAGCACCCGGUCGGCGAAGAGCACAGUCCUUUAGCAAAGCAGAGAGGGGAGAAACGGAUUUUUUUAAAUGGGUGUAUUUCUUGGGAAUGGGAAAGGAUAAGUAUCCAGAGAACAGGAUUUAGGAAUUCAGGGCUACCAGCCACCCCUCACUCCCUCCACCUAGAGGCCAAGCCAUGCUACAAAGGCAAGCCAAAGAAGACAAUAGACAUCAAGGAACUUACCCCAGAAACUGAAGGAAGAUAAGAGAGAAAGACACUGUCACGUAUGGUGACCACAGCUCAGGACAGACUUUCCAAUCAUUAAAACCCUCAUAAAUGCUCUACGCAUUAGAGUGUUGUUCAUUACAAAGAAAUGAGACAAUAAAGAAAU